Molecule: long non-coding RNA, 1663 nt
Organism: Populus trichocarpa (black cottonwood)
Lineage: Eukaryota; Viridiplantae; Streptophyta; Magnoliopsida; Malpighiales; Salicaceae
Exons: 3
Source: RefSeq, a predicted model, not a curated record
UGAGGUUGAGUAAAAGACCACUGUUCUUGCUUUUGCUUGAGUAAUAGUGGGAUACAAUUGUAUUUGAGGCUCAUCUGUCUUGGAAAAGGACAGGCACAGGCCGCAAUGUUUGAUUUCAUGGGCUUGUUUUGUCAGAGAAAGAACUUCAAUUCGAAGUCAGAGAAAGACAACUUGGCACCUCGAAAUUCUCAAGCUUUAAAUAUUUCCUUUUCUUUCAAUUCUAAGGAAUCCAUUUAAUCUUGUGUCUUGAUGGCUGAGUUGAUGCUCAUGUGCUUCCUCUUUAAAACUUGUAUUAAUAUCCAAGAAGAAGAAGAGUCGAUUUGCUAGAGACAUUGCAUAUGUUUCUGUUGCAGCAAAGCUUUCGAGCUGUCUGUUUAUCUUCAGAUAUGAGUCAUGGCCAAUGGGCAAAUUGGGUUCACUCAGACUUCAAAAUGAUUUGGCCUUCGCCCGAGCUGCACUGUGGUGGCUUGACGAAGAGAUUGGUGAGGAAGGCUUUCUAGUUCUGUUUCAUACAACAACGAAGCAGGUGAUGGAGCUGGUGUUGACAUAUCUGUGGUCCGAAUUUGAUUUAGUUCCUUAGCGUUUUCUCUUUUGUUCCAUAGAAAAGCUGCAGAGGCAGCAAUUGUUAUGGCUACACACACAAAUAACAUGCCGAAAGCUGAACUUGCUGGCAUUGGAUACUUCAUGUUGGUAUUGUGGUCGAUUGGGAAUAUGUAGAAUCGUGUGAGAAGGCCAGUCAACAGAAGGAAAAUGAUAAAAGAGGAGGAGAUUAUCACGCUGAGCCACAGCCAGCUGUUAGGGCCUAAUACUGCAGAAACUGGUGCAUCAGAUGGAUUAGGCUUGAACAAUAUUGUUCUAAUAGAACUCUGGUUCACUGUUUUUGGCUCUGUCUCUUGGGUUAUGUAGGCUUCAAUUUGCAGCUGCAAUCGAGAGAGGUCAAGAGUGGUCCCUGAAACUGGGAGAAGAAGUUCAAGCAUGGUGAGAUUGGCAUAUUUCUUGAAUGCACAUAUAAGGUGAAUCGCUGGAGUCUUGCUGCCUGUUGUGUUGGAUUUAAAGAUGAUCUCGCGGAUGAUGGAGAUGAAAGGAGUUACGCCACUUCCACCACUCACCAACACUAGCUUCUCAUACCUGGGACAAUUUUUUCUAUGUUAAUUUAGAUGCCCCAAAAAUUUCAAUCUUGAUAUAUAGAUUCUGCUAACAUUUGAUUACCUCAUAAAAUUGGCUGAAGGAGGGCCAUAUGGUCCUUCAAUAGAGACCUCAAGUCUGUUAGUAGGAGAAGGGGAGGACAGAAUCUGAUACAACUUGUGAGACCAACUUCCAUCGCAUUUGAUGACAACGCUUAGCUUAUCAGAAUCCAUAUUGCUGUUGGAGGUAACAGUAAAGGGAUGCCAUUGUAUCCUGGAAAUGCUAGACACAUUUAUGAAUGCAAUGCUUGUUGGUGCAUAGCUCAAUCCUGGCACAACGAUGAACAAAAAGAAUGUCAAAUAAUAUAUCGAAUGGUAAAAUGCGUGCUGCGACAGAACGGAUUUUUUGCUGAGAUUGUAACAAUCUCAAAUAUCGAUCGAUCAAGAAGAGGUAGAAACCAGGAAGGAUGAGGCAAGACCCAGCAAAACCAACAUGGAACACAUAGAAGAUAACAAACACAACGUAGAGAUGAUGACUA